GCCAUUGUAGAGUCUCAGGUGACCCUAAGUAAAUAUGAGUUAAAGAAAAUGGCGUCAACAGAUGUGCAUAUUUAACAUGAUUUCAUGAUAAGCAUUGUCAUACAUUAUAGAAGAAGGCACAAGUCACAAUCAAUUAUAACUAAGGAUUUCUCAUUCAAUCAUGCACUUUUAAAUUUUUACUUGCGCAACAGCAUUUAGUGAUAAUCUUCCCCUCAAAUUUGAGGUUCAAACACACUGGAAAAAAUAUUAUCCAGAAAUUAGGAAAGAAAACGUCUCCACUUUUCUGCACAACAUAAUAAGAGAUGCACACAACUCAACUCAACUAACUCCCCCCAAACGUAUAAAGAGAGAACAUCUAUCAUCUAAAUGCUUUUGACAGUUGCUUAUCUUGCACUAAAUGCCUUGAUAAAUUAAAAGGAAGAAGUUACUAAAAUGAACAUAUUUCUAGAAUGUCAGCAAAAAAAACCAGCAAUGUCAUAUAAAGCGGAUGAUGCUAGUUUAUUGGUGUGCUAGAAUCCUAAGUGGGCAAGAAUGACACAUCACUAAGCAGAACUCAUGCUACUAAGCAUUAAACUAUCAAUAAAACAUGAAUGCUGCACUGUAAGUCUUAAUGUAAAGGCCAAAGAAAAAAGGUCUAACAUGAGGUCACAAGAAUUAAGAUGAUAAGCACAAAUGCAAAGGUUAAAAAUCCUCAAGUUUUGAGAACCUCUACCAUGCCUGAGGCCGGAUACCAUCUAACAAUUUAGAAGUAUGAGACAAGACAAGUACACUUACUGCAGCAUCUGAUUGUUUCAUAU
Molecule: unclassified non-coding RNA, 797 nt
Filed under: Hevea brasiliensis (rubber tree)
Lineage: Eukaryota; Viridiplantae; Streptophyta; Magnoliopsida; Malpighiales; Euphorbiaceae
Source: RNAcentral